GGAAGGAUCAUUAAUGAAUAUAAACUUGGUGAACUGAUGCUGGCUCUGAAACCUUGGAGCAAGUGCACGUUUAUCAUUUUUUAAUUUUCCCUCUGUGCAUUUUAUGUAGGCUUAGGACUCAGAAAUGAUUCUUUGCAUUUGGGACUGCUGUGUUUUUGACUUUUCAUUAAUCAGCUUUCCCUUUUCUUUUCCAAGUCUAUGUUUUUCACAUACACCCAUUUGUUUAGAAUGUUGUAUAACAUAAGAAAUACAAUACAACUUUCAGCAACGGAUCUCUUGGCUCUCGCAUCGAUGAAGAACGCAGCGAAAUGCGAUAAGUAAUGUGAAUUGCAGAAUUCAGUGAAUCAUCGAAUCUUUGAACGCAUCUUGCACUCCUUGGUAUUCUGAGGAGUAUGCCUGUUUGAGUAUCAUUAAACUAUCAACUGUGCCAACUUUUAUAUUGGAUCACAGAUUGGACAAUGGGAGGUAUUAUAUUUGCAGGCUUUACAAAGUCAGCUCUCCUGAAAUGCAUUAGCAGUUCCUGUAUUGGUUCUUGGGUGUGUGAUAAUAUUUCUUAUACCCUUUGAUCGAAUGUAUCUGCUUCCAAUGAUUGACUUGACUUGAAUUGAUCUUGAUCUCAAAUCAGGUAGGAUUACCCGCUGAACUUAAGCAUAUCAAUAAGCGGAGGAAAAGAAACUAACAAGGAUUCCCCUAGUAACUGCGAGUGAAGCGGGAAGAGCUCAAAUUUGAAAUCUGACAGUUAUCUUUUGCUGUCCGAGUUGUAAUCUGGAGAAGUGUUACCCGUGCUGGACCAUGUACAAGUCUCCUGGAAUGGAGCAUCAUAGAGGGUGAGAAUCCUGUCUUUGACAUGGACUGCCAGUGCUUUUGUGGUGCACUCUCAAAGAGUCGAGUUGUUUGGGAAUGCAGCUCAAAAUUGGUGGUAAAUGCCAUCUAAAGCUAAAUAUUGGCGAGAGACCGAUAGCGAACAAGUACCGUGAGGGAAAGAUGAAAAGAACUUUGGAAAGAGAGUUAAACAGUACGUGAAAUUGCUGAAAGGGAAACGCUUGAAGUCAGUCGCAUUGGUUGGAAAUCAGCCUUGCUUUUGCUUGAUGUACUUUCCAUCUAAUGGGUCAGCAUCAAUUUUGAUUGCUGGAUAAAGGCUUGGGGAAUGUGGCAUCUCAGGAUGUGUUAUAGCCCUUUGUUGUAUACAGCAGUUGGGAUUGAGGAACUCAGCAUGCCGCAAGGCCUGGUCUUUAUGACCAUGUUCAUGCUUAGGAUGCUGGCAUAAUGGCUUUAAUCGACCCGUCUUGAAACACGGACCAAGGAGUCUAACAUGCAUGCGAGUGUUUGGGUGGAAAACCCAUGCGCGUAAUGAAAGUGAAAGUUGAGAUCCCUGUCGUGGGGAGCAUUGACACCCAGACCAGACCUUUUGUGACGGAUCUGUGGUAGAGCAUGUAUGUUGGGACCCGAAAGAUGGUGAACUAUGCCUGAAUAGGGUGAAGCCAGAGGAAACUCUGGUGGAGGCUCGUAGCGAUUCUGACGUGCAAAUCGAUCGUCAAAUUUGGGUAUAGGGGCGAAAGACUAAUCGAACCAUCUAGUAGCUGGUUCCUGC
RNAcentral lists this unclassified non-coding RNA (1591 nucleotides) under uncultured fungus. Its description in RNAcentral is "sequence contains 18S rRNA gene, ITS1, 5.8S rRNA gene, ITS2, 28S rRNA gene". The stretch from base 612 to 1591 matches the Rfam family "Eukaryotic large subunit ribosomal RNA", at positions 1 to 961 of the family's 3401-position model. Lineage: Eukaryota; Fungi. The record is from RNAcentral.